GAUGAACGCUGGCGGCGUGCUUAACACAUGCAAGUCGAACGAAGCAUUUACGACAGAUUUCUUCGGAUUGAAGUUGUUUAUGACUGAGUGGCGGACGGGUGAGUAACGCGUGGGUAACCUGCCUUGUACUGGGGGAUAGCAGCUGGAAACGGCUGGUAAUACCGCAUAAGCGCACGGUGCUGCAUGGCACAGGGUGAAAAACUCCGGUGGUAUAAGAUGGACCCGCGUCUGAUUAGCUAGUUGGUGAGAUAACAGCCCACCAAGGCGACGAUCAGUAGCCGACCUGAGAGGGUGACCGGCCACAUUGGGACUGAGACACGGCCCAGACUCCUACGGGAGGCAGCAGUGGGGAAUAUUGCACAAUGGAGGAAACUCUGAUGCAGCGACGCCGCGUGAGUGGAGAAGUAAUUCGUUAUGUAAAGCUCUAUCAGCAGGGAAGAUAGUGACGGUACCUGACUAAGAAGCUCCGGCUAAAUACGUGCCAGCAGCCGCAGUAA
RNAcentral lists this ribosomal RNA (497 nucleotides) under uncultured bacterium. RNAcentral's name for it is "partial 16S ribosomal RNA". It matches the Rfam family "Bacterial small subunit ribosomal RNA", at positions 28 to 523 of the family's 1533-position model. The record is from RNAcentral.